This 478-nucleotide ribosomal RNA is filed under the name uncultured bacterium. RNAcentral describes it as "partial 16S ribosomal RNA". It matches the Rfam family "Bacterial small subunit ribosomal RNA", at positions 28 to 523 of the family's 1533-position model. The record is from RNAcentral.
GACGAACGCUGGCGGCGUGCUUAACACAUGCAAGUCGAACGGUAAGGCCCUUCGGGGUACACGAGUGGCGAACGGGUGAGUAACACGUGGGUGAUCUGCCCUGCACUUCGGGAUAAGCCUGGGAAACUGGGUCUAAUACCGGAUAGGACCACUGCCUGCAUGGGUGGUGGUGGAAAGCUUUUGCGGUGUGGGGUGGGCCCGCGGCCUAUCAGCUUGUUGGUGGGGUGAUGGCCUACCAAGGCGACGACGGGUAGCCGGCCUGAGGGGGUGACCGGCCACACUGGGACUGAGAGACGGCCCAGACUCCUACGGGAGGCAGCAGUGGGGAAGAUUGAACAAUGGGCGCAAGCCUGAUGCAGCGGCGCCGCGUGAGGGAUGACGGCCUUCGGGUUGUAAACCUCUUUCAGCACCGACGAAGCGCAAGUGACGGUAGGUGCAGAAGAAGGACCGGCCAACUACGUGCCAGCCGCCGCGGUAA